CCUACCAGACCCACCAAGUUACGGGCGGCGGAGAGCGAUCUUGCCGUGAACUGGGGGAUUAGCUCAGCUGGGAGAGCACCUGCUUUGCAAGCAGGGGGUCGUCGGUUCGAUCCCGUCAUCCUCCACCAACACCUUGUGGUAGCCAAACGCAAGCAUCGAGAGAUCGGUGUUUGCGUUUGGCAUUGCCAAGACGAGUAGUAACUCGGCUGUUCUUUAACAAUAUGGAAUGUAGUAAAGGUGUCGCGGCGCGUUGAUGAGGCGCGCAAUUUAAACGCGACACUGGGUUGUGAUUGUAUCAACCAGUAUUACGAGUGAUCGAAAGACCGCUUGGAAUACGGCACAACGCGAGAACUCAGCCUAUAGCGAGACAUACUCGUUAUAGGGUCAAGCGAAUAAGUGCAUGUGGUGGAUGCCUUGGCGAUCACAGGCGAUGAAGGACGUAGUAGCUUGCGAAAAGCUGCGGGGAGCUGGCAAACGAGCUUUGAUCCGCAGAUGUCCGAAUGGGGAAACCCGGCCCGUAUGGGUCAUCCCUUGCUGAAUACAUAGGCAAGGGAGGCGAACGCAGUGAACUGAAACAUCUAAGUAGCUGCAGGAAAAGAAAUCAACCGAGAUUCCCAGAGUAGUGGCGAGCGAAAUGGGAACAGCCUUGUACUCUUUAGCAGUAUUGUUAGCGGAACGGAAUGGAAAGUCCGGCCAUAGUGGGUGAUAGCCCCGUACGCGAAAACAGUAUUGUGGAACUAGGUGUACGACAAGUAGGGCGGGACACGUGAAAUCCUGUCUGAAGAUGGGGGGACCAUCCUCCAAGGCUAAAUACUCGUGAUCGACCGAUAGUGAACCAGUACCGUGAGGGAAAGGCGAAAAGAACCCCGGGAGGGGAGUGAAAUAGAUCCUGAAACCGCAUGCAUACAAACAGUCGGAGCCUGGAAACGGGUGACGGCGUACCUUUUGUAUAAUGGGUCAGCGACUUACAUUCAGUGGCAAGCUUAACCGAUUAGGGAAGGCGUAGCGAAAGCGAGUCCGAAUAGGGCGUUCAGUCGCUGGGUGUAGACCCGAAACCAAGUGAUCUAUCCAUGGCCAGGUUGAAGGUGCGGUAACACGUACUGGAGGACCGAACCCACUAACGUUGAAAAGUUAGGGGAUGAGCUGUGGAUAGGGGUGAAAGGCUAAACAAACUUGGAAAUAGCUGGUUCUCUCCGAAAACUAUUUAGGUAGUGCCUCGUGUCUCACCUUCGGGGGUAGAGCACUGUCAUGGUUGGGGGGUCUAUUGCUGAUUACCCCGCCAUAGCAAACUCCGAAUACCGAA
RNAcentral lists this small RNA (1303 nucleotides) under Ralstonia solanacearum. RNAcentral's name for it is "bacterial LSU rRNA". The stretch from base 383 to 1303 matches the Rfam family "Bacterial large subunit ribosomal RNA", at positions 1 to 967 of the family's 2925-position model. Lineage: Bacteria; Pseudomonadati; Pseudomonadota; Betaproteobacteria; Burkholderiales; Burkholderiaceae. The record is from RNAcentral.